CAACUUUUAACAACGGAUCUCUUGGUUCUCGCAUCGAUGAAGAACGUAGCAAAGUGCGAUAACUAGUGUGAAUUGCAUAUUCAGUGAAUCAUCGAGUCUUUGAACGCAUCUUGCGCCUUUUGGUAUUCCAAGAGGCACGCCUGUUUCAGUAUC
RNAcentral lists this ribosomal RNA (153 nucleotides) under Mucor exponens. Its description in RNAcentral is "5.8S ribosomal RNA". It matches the Rfam family "5.8S ribosomal RNA". Rfam says of the family: 5.8S ribosomal RNA (5.8S rRNA) is a component of the large subunit of the eukaryotic ribosome. It is transcribed by RNA polymerase I as part of the 45S precursor that also contains 18S and 28S rRNA. Lineage: Eukaryota; Fungi; Mucoromycota; Mucoromycetes; Mucorales; Mucoraceae. The record is from RNAcentral.